UUAAGGUUUCUCUUUACGAGUUCUAUUUGGAAUUGGAUUACUUGUUCUAUUUCUAUGUGGACUACGGCAUCUUAAGGUAUUUGGUUUUCCUAAAUAUUAGCACUACGUCGGUGAUAUUUGAGUUUAACUUCUGUGCGGAGGUGGCGAAAAAGAAGUGAUUUACCUCACCCAAUUAAUGAAAGCCACGUCAUCAUUUUAUAGACAAAUCAAUACACCCAGCACACACAAUCAUAGCACCGGAGCUAAACCCCAAAUCUUCUCUCCUCCUCUCUUCUUAGCACCGGAUCUCUACGCCGCCACAUACACCGCCGCACGCGUCGCUUCCUGCGUCUGAAAAUUAUGUCGGAGCCUUCGCAAGUGUGGUGUCACUACCUCAAGACAGGUGGUUUUGAAUAUUUUAAGGAAAAUUGCCCUACUAUCUUGAUUGAAAUCUUGGAGUAUGAGGCUAGAGUUAGUGAACACUCUGUCAUCCAAUGCUAGCAUGGAAAUGAAGCCUAAAAAUCAUGUAUUUUGGAGAACAAUUGAAUCAGCAAAAGUCACUUCCUAGAUUUGGUUUUCUAUUUAAAUAACUGUGGAGGGGAUAAAGCCCUGAAAUGAGGAAAUUUUAUAUUUGAACUUUCUCUACUUCUUGCUCUUUUCACAGCAAAACCUUGUAUUUUUGAGAACAAUUGAAUUUAUAAAUCAUGCAAUUGGCAUAUUGCAAGUGGUAAUUGACUUA
Quercus robur (English oak) is the source of this 718-nucleotide long non-coding RNA. RefSeq lists it as uncharacterized. Lineage: Eukaryota; Viridiplantae; Streptophyta; Magnoliopsida; Fagales; Fagaceae. The transcript is spliced from 2 exons. The record is from RefSeq and is a predicted model, not a curated record.